RNAcentral lists this ribosomal RNA (439 nucleotides) under SAR202 cluster bacterium AD-812-D07_MRT_10900m. RNAcentral's name for it is "Bacterial small subunit ribosomal RNA". It matches the Rfam family "Bacterial small subunit ribosomal RNA", at positions 1 to 427 of the family's 1533-position model. Lineage: Bacteria; Bacillati; Chloroflexota; Dehalococcoidia. The record is from Rfam by way of RNAcentral.
UUUACGGAGAGUUUGAUCCUGGCUCAGGACGAACGUUGGCGGCGCGCAUAAUGCAUGCAAGUCGAACGAAGUCCCACCCUUCGGGGUGACGACUUAGUGGCAGACGGCUGAGUAACGCGUGAGUGAUCUGCCUUUGGGUAGGGGAUAACAGAGAGAAAUUUCUGCUAAUACCGCAUACGAUCCGCAGAAUAGAGGCUGUGGAUGAAAGGUGCCGGGUAACCGGUUUCCGCCCUUAGAUGAGCUCGCGUCCUAUCAGGUAGUUGGUGGGGUAAUGGCCUACCAAGCCUUAGACGGGUAACUGGUGUGAGAGCAUGACCAGUCAGAGGGGGACUGAGACACGGCCCCCACUCCUACGGGAGGCAGCAGCAGGGAAUCUUCCACAAUGGGCGAAAGCCUGAUGGAGCGACGCCGCGUGAGGGAUGAAGGCUCUAGGGUCGUA